RNAcentral lists this ribosomal RNA (468 nucleotides) under uncultured bacterium. RNAcentral describes it as "partial 16S ribosomal RNA". It matches the Rfam family "Bacterial small subunit ribosomal RNA", at positions 28 to 507 of the family's 1533-position model. The record is from RNAcentral.
GACGAACGCUGGCGGCGUGCUUAACACAUGCAAGUCGAACGGAAAGGCCCUGCUUUUGUGGGGUGCUCGAGUGGCGAACGGGUGAGUAACACGUGAGUAACCUGCCCUUGACUUUGGGAUAACUUCAGGAAACUGGGGCUAAUACCGGAUAGGAGCUCCUGCUGCAUGGUGGGGGUUGGAAAGUUUCGGCGGUUGGGGAUGGACUCGCGGCUUAUCAGCUUGUUGGUGGGGUAGUGGCUUACCAAGGCUUUGACGGGUAGCCGGCCUGAGAGGGUGACCGGCCACAUUGGGACUGAGAUACGGCCCAGACUCCUACGGGGGGCAGCAGUGGGGAAUAUUGCACAAUGGGCGGAAGCCUGAUGCAGCAACGCCGCGUGCGGGAUGACGGCCUUCGGGUUGUAAACCGCUUUCGCCUGUGACGAAGCGUGAGUGACGGUAAUGGGUAAAGAGGCACCGGCUAACUACGUG